UACAGAGGGUGCAAGCGUUUGUUCGGAAUUACUGGGCGUAAAGGGCGCGUAGGCGGUUUAGCAAGUCAGAUGUGAAAGCCCAGGGCUUAACCCUGGAAGUGCAUUUGAAACUGCUAGACUAGAGUGCAGUAGAGGUUGGUGGAAUUCCCAGUGGAGAGGUGAAAUUCGUAGAUAUUGGGAGGAACACCGGUGGCGAAGGCGGCCAACUGGGCUGUAACUGGACGCUGAGGCGCGAGAGCGUGGGUAGCAAACAGGA
This 256-nucleotide ribosomal RNA is filed under the name uncultured bacterium. Its description in RNAcentral is "partial 16S ribosomal RNA". It matches the Rfam family "Bacterial small subunit ribosomal RNA", at positions 524 to 777 of the family's 1533-position model. The record is from RNAcentral.